CACCUGGUUGAUCCUGCCAGUAGUCAUAUGCUUGUCUCAAAGAUUAAGCCAUGCAUGUCUAAGUAUAAGCUUUAAACGGCGAAACUGCGAAUGGCUCAUUAAAACAGUUAUAGUUUAUUUGGUGAUCGAUUACUAUUUGGAUAACCGUAGUAAUUCUAGAGCUAAUACAUGCGUCAAGGCCCGACUUCGGAAGGGCUGCGUUUAUUAGAUACAGAACCAAC
RNAcentral lists this non-coding RNA (221 nucleotides) under Perkinsus marinus ATCC 50983. RNAcentral's name for it is "Eukaryotic small subunit ribosomal RNA". It matches the Rfam family "Eukaryotic small subunit ribosomal RNA", at positions 1 to 226 of the family's 1831-position model. Lineage: Eukaryota; Perkinsozoa; Perkinsida; Perkinsidae. The record is from Rfam by way of RNAcentral.